This 72-nucleotide transfer RNA is filed under the name Haliotis rubra (blacklip abalone). RNAcentral describes it as "tRNA-Lys". It matches the Rfam family "tRNA". Rfam says of the family: Transfer RNA (tRNA) molecules are approximately 80 nucleotides in length. Their secondary structure includes four short double-helical elements and three loops (D, anti-codon, and T loops). Further hydrogen bonds mediate the characteristic L-shaped molecular structure. tRNAs have two regions of fundamental functional importance: the anti-codon, which is responsible for specific mRNA codon recognition, and the 3' end, to which the tRNAs corresponding amino acid is attached (by aminoacyl-tRNA synthetases). tRNAs cope with the degeneracy of the genetic code in two manners: having more than one tRNA (with a specific anti-codon) for a particular amino acid; and 'wobble' base-pairing, i.e. permitting non-standard base-pairing at the 3rd anti-codon position. The record is from RNAcentral. Lineage: Eukaryota; Metazoa; Mollusca; Gastropoda; Lepetellida; Haliotidae.
GCCCGGAUAGCUCAGUCGGUAGAGCAUCAGACUUUUAAUCUGAGGGUCAGGGUUCGAGUCCCUGUUCGGGCG